CCCUUAGAUGUCCUGGGCCGCACGCGCGCUACAAUGACACAUGCAACAAGUUCUAUCCUGGCUCGGAAGAGUUUCGGGUAAUCUUUAUAAUGUGUGUCGUGCUGGGGAUCGAUCUUUGUAAUUAUGGAUCUUGAACGAGGAAUUCCUAGUAAGCAUAAGUCAUCAGCUUGUGCUGAUUACGUCCCUGCCCUUUGUACACACCGCCCGUCGCUCCUACCGAUUGAUUGAUCCGGUGAAUUACAUAGAAUUUUGCGUUUCACAUGACGGAAGAUGAAGUGUUUUAAACCUUAUCAUUUAGAGGAAGGAGAAGUCGUAACA
RNAcentral lists this ribosomal RNA (318 nucleotides) under uncultured eukaryote. Its description in RNAcentral is "partial 18S ribosomal RNA". It matches the Rfam family "Eukaryotic small subunit ribosomal RNA", at positions 1470 to 1796 of the family's 1831-position model. The record is from RNAcentral.